This 1088-nucleotide ribosomal RNA is filed under the name Alexandrium catenella. Its description in RNAcentral is "partial large subunit ribosomal RNA". It matches the Rfam family "Eukaryotic large subunit ribosomal RNA", at positions 124 to 1171 of the family's 3401-position model. Lineage: Eukaryota; Dinophyceae; Gonyaulacales; Pyrocystaceae. The record is from RNAcentral.
GAGCUAUUGGCUUUGAAUUGUAUUGUGGAAAUGUAUUACCAACAGAGGUGCAGGUGCCAGCCUAUUGAAAUAAAGCGUCAAUGAGGGUGAGAAUCCUGUUUGUCAUGUGCAGCCCUUUGUGCACGGUGUAUAUUUGCUGAGUCACACUCCUUGGCAUUGGAAUGCAAAGUGGGUGGUAAGUUUCAUGUAAAGGUAAACAUGCAAUUGAGACUGAUAGCACACAAGUACCAUGAGGGAAAUAUGAAAAGGACUUUGAAAAGAGAAUUAAAUGAGUUUGUAUUUGCUGAACACAAAGUAAACAGACUUGAUUUGCUUGGUGGGAGUGUUGCACUUGCUUGACAAGAGCUUUGGGCUGUGGGUGUAAUGAUUCUUUCUUUGCAUGCCAGUUUCUAUUUGUACAUCUGAUUACCUUUGCACAUGAAUGAUAAGUCUCCUGUGGGGGGUGGAUUGCAUGUGCAUGUAAUGAUUUGUGUUUUGAUAAAUGUGUCUGGUGUAUGUGUGUGUUCCUGUGCUUGGGGAUGCUUCCUUCCUUGGACUUACAAGCCCUGACACACACAUGCUGGCAAAAUGCUUCUGCUUGACCCGUCUUGAAACACGGACCAAGGAGUCUAACAGAUGUGCAAAGUUUGAAGGUGGUAUACCUUUGUGUGCAAUGAAAGUGUCAGCUGGGAUAUGUGCACCAGCACCCAAUUAAUUAGCGGACAGAGGUUUGAGUUGGAGCAUAUCUAUUAGGACCCGAAAGAUGGUGAACUAUGCCUGAACAGAAUGAAUUCAGAGGAAACUCUGAUGGAGGUUCGUAUCGAUACUGACGUGCAAAUCGUUCGUCAUAUUUGGGUAUAGGGGCGAAAGACUAAUCGAACCAUCUAGUAGCUGGUUCCCUCCGAAGUUUCCCUCAGGAUAGCUGGAGUUGCUCAGUUUUAUCAGGUAAAGCGAAUGAUUAGAGGAAUUGGGGACAGGUUUGUCUUUGACCUAUUCUCAAACUUUAAAUGGGUAAUAUGUAGUGGUUGCUGUAUGGAACUUCUAAGAUAAAUGGCAAUAUUGGGUGGGCCAUUUUUGGUAAGCAGAACUGGCGAUGAGGGAUGAACCUA